Molecule: long non-coding RNA, 543 nt
Organism: Mizuhopecten yessoensis (Yesso scallop)
Lineage: Eukaryota; Metazoa; Mollusca; Bivalvia; Pectinida; Pectinidae
Exons: 3
Source: RefSeq, a predicted model, not a curated record
CCUCUUGCAUCACUCGUAACUUGGCCUUCAGGAAGCGGAUAGUCGCCUCUGUUCAAGCCAACAUAAGGGAUAUUUAUGUCGUCAAAGUCUUUGAUGUGAGGCCAAAAGACAAAUUGUUUCGAGAAAACCAAGGAUGAAAAGAUAACAGAGCAAAAAUAUGAAGAAUCAAAAUUAAAAGCCAUACAGGAAACACAGAUGGAGUCUUAAUGUUGGAGGAAACCGGAGUUCCCGGAGGAAACUGGAGUUCCCAGAGAAAACUGGAGUUCCUGAGGGAAACCUACAUGGUGGGGAAGGUGAUCUUAUAUCUUUUCACAUCAAAAUAGAAACCUAACUCUGGCUAUCGUGUACAGUACUUGCAAGCUGUCCAAACCUAAGGUUGACAGCAUUUUCUAGCACUAUCAAAUCCCUGUCUGACGGUCAAGAAUAUCAUUUCUCCCUUAUUAGACAGAGAUAUUAACACUUCCGGUCAAGGAAAGAUUUAUCUGUCUUACCCUAGGGUAAAGACGGGGGGAUCCCCCUGUCAUAACGAUUGCAUGACGUCAC